Molecule: ribosomal RNA, 292 nt
Filed under: uncultured bacterium
Lineage: Bacteria
Description: partial 16S ribosomal RNA
Rfam family: Bacterial small subunit ribosomal RNA
Source: RNAcentral
UUGUCAGCAGCCGCGGUAAAACGUAGGAGGCAAGCGUUAUCCGGAGUUACUGGGCGUAAAGCGCGUGCAGGUGGUUUUCUACGUCCGCUGUGAAAGCGUUGGGCUCAACCGAACAAAAGCGGCGGAUACGGGGAAACUGGAGGGUGACAGAGGCGUGUGGAAUUCCGGGUGUAGUGGUGAAAUGCGUAGAGAUCCGGAGGAACACCAGUGGCGCAAGCGGCACGCUGGGUCACAACUGACACUGAGACGCGAAGGCAUGGGGAGCGAACGGGAUUAGAAACCCCCGUAGUCC